AUCAAUCCUUAUUUGAUACAACAGGAAUAUAUACACAAUAUUUAUAUUUCGGUUUUUUAUAUAAUUUUCUUCUCUUCACAUAGCAGCCCACGAUUUAUCAAUCACCACUGGGCACAGCUUAGCCCUGAGUUUUUCAUAAAUUUUUAGUAUAAAUUUAACACACGGAUAGUUCAUAACGUUUUCCUAUGAAAGAAUAAUAUAUAUAUAUAUUUUUUUUUGUAAGUCUGAACUUUUCUUUUUAGAUGCUUUCACUUUAAGUCGAACUGCUACAACUGAGCACAAUCAGAAUGGCAGCUUGAGUUUAACUUCACAAAGAUCGCAAAGACCUGGGCUUGAUCUUUAUGAAACGAGAGUAAAUCCAAUUGGCCGACUCGAUUUCUAUCAAAGGUGAACGAGCUAGCUGCAAUUAUAUAGAAUCUACCUUAAUUCGCAAAUGGGGGGCGCAUCAAGAGGGCACAGAGACAACCGUAAUUCUUACAAGCUGCGAGCUACUGAUACCUGAAGAAGAAGAAGAAGAAGAAGAAUUCUAAUCGCCAUAAAAUUGAACUAGCAAUCGCUGUUCUGUUUAUGCCUAGUUGGAUAUAAAUCUGUACGUCUGUCCAUUCGAAGCAAUGCCCUUCACUAUCGACAAUAAGCCGCUCAAAUAACGAAUGCUACUCAAAGCGCAUUCAAAUGUAAAGCAAGACGCUCGAUCUUUGCAUUGCUGAGAAUAUUUUUCAAAAUUCAUUGUUAUUUUUAUUGUUAGCAUUAUUUUCACACUAAGACGUCCACUACUACACAUGAAUAAAAAUUAAAAGAAUAA
Long non-coding RNA from Drosophila mojavensis, 802 nucleotides. RefSeq lists it as uncharacterized. The transcript is spliced from 2 exons. The record is from RefSeq and is a predicted model, not a curated record. Lineage: Eukaryota; Metazoa; Arthropoda; Insecta; Diptera; Drosophilidae.